RNAcentral lists this ribosomal RNA (522 nucleotides) under Coronella austriaca. RNAcentral describes it as "partial 16S ribosomal RNA". It matches the Rfam family "Bacterial large subunit ribosomal RNA", at positions 1814 to 2605 of the family's 2925-position model. The record is from RNAcentral. Lineage: Eukaryota; Metazoa; Chordata; Lepidosauria; Squamata; Colubridae.
CAUAACCUUUAGCCAAACAAAUAUUAAAGGCAACGCCUGCCCAGUGAAUAAUUAAACGGCCGCGGUAUCCUAACCGUGCAAAGGUAGCGUAAUCAUUUGUCUACUAAUUAUAGACCUGUAUGAAAGGCAAAAUGAGGGUCUAACUGUCUCUUAUAGUGAAUCAAUUAAACUGAUCUUCUAGUAAAAAAGCUAGAAUAUCAACAUAAGACCAGAAGACCCUGUGAAGCUUAAAUAAAACUAUUAAACCAUAUAAUAACUACUUUCGGUUGGGGCGACCUUGGAAAAAAAGAGAACUUCCAAAUAAAAUGACUAUACCUCAUUAAUCUAAACAGGCCAACAAGCCAAAAAUGACCCAGCACAGCUGAUAAUUGAACCAAGUUACUCCAGGGAUAACAGCGCAAUCUUCUUCAAGAGCCCAUAUCAAAAAGAAGGUUUACGACCUCGAUGUUGGAUCAGGACAUCCUAAUGGUGCAGCCGCUAUUAAGGGUUCGUUUGUUCAACGAUUAAUAGUCCUACGUGAUC